AGCAUUCGCCGCGGUAAUACGAAGGGUGCAAGCGUUAAUCGGAAUUACUGGGCGUAAAGCGUGCGUAGGCGGUUUGUUAAGUCUGCUGUGAAAUCCCCGGGCUCAACCUGGGAAUGGCAGUGGAUACUGGCAAGCUAGAAUGUGUCAGAGGAUGGUGGAAUUCCCGGUGUAGCGGUGAAAUGCGUAGAGAUCGGGAGGAACAUCAGUGGCGAAGGCGGCCAUCUGGGACAACACUGACGCUGAGGCACGAAAGCGUGGGGAGCAAACAGGAUUAGAUACCCCUGUAGUCCCUGUCUCUUAUAA
RNAcentral lists this ribosomal RNA (303 nucleotides) under uncultured bacterium. RNAcentral describes it as "partial 16S ribosomal RNA". It matches the Rfam family "Bacterial small subunit ribosomal RNA", at positions 510 to 809 of the family's 1533-position model. The record is from RNAcentral.